RNAcentral lists this ribosomal RNA (1175 nucleotides) under Giardia duodenalis assemblage A. RNAcentral's name for it is "eukaryotic LSU rRNA". It matches the Rfam family "Eukaryotic large subunit ribosomal RNA", at positions 1847 to 3401 of the family's 3401-position model. The record is from RNAcentral. Lineage: Eukaryota; Fornicata; Diplomonadida; Hexamitidae.
CCCCGCCACGCAGCAGGACUCCGGGGUCAGCAGCCUCUAGCGCGGGAGCGAACGCGGCUCAGGGAAGUCGGCAAGCCGGCUCCGUAACCUCGGGAAAAGGAGUGGCUCUGACGGCGCGCCGGGUCAGAACUGGAACGGACGCGGGGAUCCCGACUGUUUACUAGAAACACAGCGUCGCGAGGGCCGCACCCGGCGCUGGCGCGACGUGAUUUCUGCCCAGUGCCACGACCGUCACCGUGAAGCGAUCCGCCGAAGCCCUGGUAAACGGCGGGAGUAACUAUGACUCUCUUAAGGUAGCCAAAUGCCUCGUCGGGCAAUUUCCGACGUGCAUGAAUGGACCAACGAGGAUCCCACUGUCCCGAGCCGCGCCUCCGCGAGCCUCCAGCCUCGGGAACGGGCGAGGGCCGGCCAGCGGGGCAAGAAGACCCUUUUGAGCUUGACUCCAGCCCGGGCCUGUGGGGCGGGGCGGCCGGCGCAGCGCACAGGGGAGGCCGCGCCCCUGAGACACCCUGACGGCCGCCGCCGCCCCGCUCACCCGGUCGCGCGGGGACCCGCCCGGGCGGGGAGUUCGGCUGGGGCGGCGCGCCUGCUACACCGGACCGCAGGCGUCCCACGGCGGGCUCAGCGAGGACGGAGACCUCCCGCGGAGCAGAAGGGCACAAGCCCGCCCGACCCGCGCCCCCCGUGCCGGCGCGGGCCGCGAAAGCGGGGCCUACCGAUCCUUCGCCGCCCCGGCCGCGGGCGCGGAGGUGGCAGAAAAGUUACCACAGGGAUAACUGGCUUGUGGCCGCCGAGCGCCCGCAGCGACGCGGCUUUUUGAUCCUUCGAUGUCGGCUCUUCCUACCGUCCGCGCGCACCGGCGCGGAAGCGUCGGAUUGUUCACCCGUUCAAGGGAUCGUGAGCUGGGUUUAGACCGUCGUGAGACAGGUUAGUUUUACCCUACUGGCCCCGGGGCCAGAGCACGGCGGGCCAGUACGAGAGGAACGCCCGCCGCGGGCCGCCAGCCCCGCGGUUGCCCGGCCGGGCAGCGCCGCGCCGCCGCGCCCGGGGGCCCUGCGCUGACCGCCUCUAAGCGCGCACCCCGCCUCGCGCCCCGCCCGGCCGCGCGCCCCAGCCCCGUGCCCCGUCGCCGAGCGGCCGCCGCCCGGGGAGACCACCCGGCGCGGCGCUCCUGU